AAACCAACAGGGAUUGCCCUAGUAACGGCGAGUGAAGCGGCAACAGCUCAAAUUUGAAAGCUGGCCUUCGGGUCCGCAUUGUAAUUUGUAGAGGAUGCUUUGGGUGAAACGCCAGUCUAAGUUCCUUGGAACAGGACGUCAUAGAGGGUGAGAAUCCCGUAUGUGACUGGAAAUGUUAACCUAUGUAAAGCUCCUUCGACGAGUCGAGUUGUUUGGGAAUGCAGCUCUAAAUGGGAGGUAAAUUUCUUCUAAAGCUAAAUAUUGGCGAGAGACCGAUAGCGCACAAGUAGAGUGAUCGAAAGAUGAAAAGCACUUUGGAAAGAGAGUUAAAAAGCACGUGAAAUUGUUGAAAGGGAAGCGCUUGCAAUCAGACUUGUUUAAACUGUUCGGCCGGUCUUCUGACCGGUUUACUCAGUUUGGACAGGCCAGCAUCAGUUUCGGCGGCCGGAUAAAGGCUCUGGGAAUGUGGCCUUCACUUCGGUGAAGGUGUUAUAGCCCAGGGUGUAAUACGGCCAGCCGGGACUGAGGUCCGCGCUUCGGCUAGGAUGCUGGCGUAAUGGUUGUAAGCGACCC
This 573-nucleotide ribosomal RNA is filed under the name Aureobasidium pullulans. RNAcentral describes it as "partial large subunit ribosomal RNA". It matches the Rfam family "Eukaryotic large subunit ribosomal RNA", at positions 62 to 650 of the family's 3401-position model. The record is from RNAcentral. Lineage: Eukaryota; Fungi; Ascomycota; Dothideomycetes; Dothideales; Saccotheciaceae.